UACGUAGGGUGCGAGCGUUGUCCGGAUUUAUUGGGCGUAAAGAGCUCGUAGGCGGUCUGUCGCGUCGGAUGUGAAAACCCAGGGCUCAACCCUGGGCCUGCAUUCGAUACGGGCAGACUAGAGUGUGGCAGGGGAGACUGGAAUUCCUGGUGUAGCGGUGAAAUGCGCAGAUAUCAGGAGGAACACCGAUGGCGAAGGCAGGUCACUGGGCCGCAACUGACGCUGAGGAGCGAAAGCAUGGGGAGCGAACAGG
This 253-nucleotide ribosomal RNA is filed under the name uncultured bacterium. RNAcentral describes it as "partial 16S ribosomal RNA". It matches the Rfam family "Bacterial small subunit ribosomal RNA", at positions 524 to 776 of the family's 1533-position model. The record is from RNAcentral.